GACGAACGCUGGCGGCGUGCUUAACACAUGCGAGUCGAACGGAAAGGCCCUGCUUUUGUGGGGUGCUCGAGUGGCGAACGGGUGAGUAACACGUGAGUAACCUGCCCUUGACUUUGGGAUAACUUCAGGAAACUGGGGCUAAUACCGGAUAGGAGCUCCUGCUGCAUGGUGGGGGUUGGAAAGUUUCGGCGGUUGGGGAUGGACUCGCGGCUUAUCAGCUUGUUGGUGGGGUAGUGGCUUACCAAGGCUUUGACGGGUAGCAGGCCUGAGAGGGUGACCGGCCACAUUGGGACUGAGAUACGGCCCAGACGCCUACGGGAGGCAGCAGUGGGGAAUAUUGCACAAUGGGCGGAAGCCUGAUGCAGCAACGCCGCGUGCGGGAUGACGGCCUUCGGGUUGUAAACCGCUUUCGCCUGUGACGAAGCGUGAGUGACGGUAAUGAGUAAAGAAGCACCGGCUAACUACGUG
This 468-nucleotide ribosomal RNA is filed under the name uncultured bacterium. RNAcentral's name for it is "partial 16S ribosomal RNA". It matches the Rfam family "Bacterial small subunit ribosomal RNA", at positions 28 to 507 of the family's 1533-position model. The record is from RNAcentral.